Non-coding RNA from Poecilia reticulata (guppy), 437 nucleotides. The record is from RefSeq and is a predicted model, not a curated record. Lineage: Eukaryota; Metazoa; Chordata; Actinopteri; Cyprinodontiformes; Poeciliidae.
GGCUUCCAGACACUUUUCAGAGGACCUUAGACUGUUGUUUGAAGACUGCAUGUCUUCUCCAGCCUGGGGACAACUUUGAAUCCCCAAAGGGUUAAAGCCGGCGAUUCUCACCUCGCUCAGGAAGGCUGGGAGAUUUCAGCGAUGCCGUUGCUGCUGCCCCUUCCUCUCAUCCUCCUCCCUCACAGCUGACCCUCAUUGGAAAUGGACAAACUGGGAUUUACAGAAACACGGCAGCUGCACAGUCAGGAGGAUGCACUAUGGCAGCAGAGGAGGAAUCAGGAGGUUUUUCACCCACAUGUAGGUGGAAUCUGUUGCUUCACCAAAAUGAAUUUUGAACCUGGAUGAAUCCUGCAGGCCAGUUCGUUACAAAAACCUCAUUACUGCAUUGUUUCCUGGUCUGCAAAACCGGCUUCCUCUUAUAAAAGUCAGCCGAUGCA